CCCAGUAAACGGCGGCCGUAACUAUAACGGUCCUAAGGUAGCGAAAUUCCUUGUCAGGUAAGUUCUGACCCGCAUGAAAGGCGUAAUGAUUUGGGCACUGUCUCAACAGCCCGCCCGGCGAAAUUGUAGUACCGGUGAAGAUGCCGGUUACCCGCGACAAGACGGAAAGACCCCAUGGAGCUUUACUGUAGCCUAAUAUUGGGUUUCGAUGUUGCAUGCACAGGAUAGAUGGGACACUGGGAAGCAGGUGCUUUGGCGCUUGUGGAGUGGCCGUUGGGAUACCAUCCUUGCGAUAUUGGAAUUCUAACCUGCGGCUCUGAAUCGAGUCGGGGGACAUUGUUAGGUGGGCAGUUUGACUGGGGCGGUCGCCUCCUAAAGAGUAACGGAGGCGUUCAAAGGUUCGCUCAGCUUGAACGGAAAUCAAGCAAAAGAGUGCAAACGCAGAAGCGAGCCUAACUGCGAGACUGACGGGUCGAGCAGUAACGAAAGUUGGAGUUAGUGAUCCGGUGGUAUGUGAGUGGAAAUGCCAUCGCUCAACGGAUAAAAGUUACCCUGGGGAUAACAGGCUGAUCUCCCCCAAGAGUCCACAUCGACGGGGAGGUUUGGCACCUCGAUGUCGGCUCAUCGCAUCCUGGGGCUGUAUUCGGUCCCAAGGGUUUGGCUGUUCGCCAAUUAAAGCGGUACGCGAGCUGGGUUCAGAACGUCGUGAGACAGUUCGGUCCCUAUCUGUCGUGGGCGCAGGAUAUUUGAUGGGAGCUGUCCCUAGUACGAGAGGACCGGGACGGACGUACCUCUGGCGCACCAGUUGUUCCGCCAGGAGCAUAGCUGGGCAACUACGUACGGAUCGGAUAAACGCUGAAAGCAUCUAAGCGUGAAGCCGACCCAAAGAUAAGAUAUCCCAUUGUUUCAAACAAGUAAGACCCCUUGAAGACUACAAGGUUGAUAGGCACGAUGUGUAAGUGGAGUGAUCCAUUCAGCAAGCGUGUACUAAUAGGUCGAGGGCUUGACCAC
This 1011-nucleotide ribosomal RNA is filed under the name human gut metagenome. Its description in RNAcentral is "bacterial LSU rRNA". It matches the Rfam family "Bacterial large subunit ribosomal RNA", at positions 1919 to 2925 of the family's 2925-position model. The record is from RNAcentral.